CGAACGGGUGAGUAAUACAUAAGUAACCUGCCCUAGACAGGGGGAUAACUAUUGGAAACGAUAGCUAAGACCGCAUAGGUACGGACACUGCAUGGUGACCGUAUUAAAAGUGCCUCAAAGCACUGGUAGAGGAUGGACUUAUGGCGCAUUAGCUGGUUGGCGGGGUAACGGCCCACCAAGGCGACGAUGCGUAGCCGACCUGAGAGGGUGACCGGCCACACUAGGACUGAGACACGGCCCAGACUCCUACGGGAGGCAGCAUG
RNAcentral lists this ribosomal RNA (263 nucleotides) under uncultured bacterium. RNAcentral describes it as "partial 16S ribosomal RNA". It matches the Rfam family "Bacterial small subunit ribosomal RNA", at positions 99 to 353 of the family's 1533-position model. The record is from RNAcentral.